Molecule: transfer RNA, 65 nt
Filed under: Dipodomys ordii (Ord's kangaroo rat)
Lineage: Eukaryota; Metazoa; Chordata; Mammalia; Rodentia; Heteromyidae
Rfam family: tRNA
About the family: Transfer RNA (tRNA) molecules are approximately 80 nucleotides in length. Their secondary structure includes four short double-helical elements and three loops (D, anti-codon, and T loops).
Source: Rfam by way of RNAcentral
GGUGGCUCAGAGGUAGAGCGCUUGCCUUGCAUCCAUGAGGCCCUGGGUUCGAUUCCUCAGCACCA